This 497-nucleotide ribosomal RNA is filed under the name uncultured bacterium. Its description in RNAcentral is "partial 16S ribosomal RNA". It matches the Rfam family "Bacterial small subunit ribosomal RNA", at positions 28 to 507 of the family's 1533-position model. The record is from RNAcentral.
GAUGAACGCUGGCGGCGUGCCUAAUACAUGCAAGUCGAGCGAACGGACGAGAAGCUUGCUUCUCUGAUGUUAGCGGCGGACGGGUGAGUAACACGUGGAUAACCUACCUAUAAGACUGGGAUAACUUCGGGAAACCGGAGCUAAUACCGGAUGAUAUUUUGAACCGCAUGGUUCAAAAGUGAAAGACGGUCUUGCUGUCACUUAUAGAUGGAUCCGCGCUGCAUUAGCUAGUUGGUAAGGUAACGGCUUACCAAGGCAACGAUGCAUAGCCGACCUGAGAGGGUGAUCGGCCACACUGGAACUGAGACACGGUCCAGACUCCUACGGGAGACAGCAGUAGGGAAUCUUCCGCAAUGGGCGAAAGCCUGACGGAGCAACGCCGCGUGAGUGAUGAAGGUCUUCGGAUCGUAAAACUCUGUUAUUAGGGAAGAACAUAUGUGUAAGUAACUGUGCACAUCUUGACGGUACCUAAUCAGAAAGCCGCGGCUAACUACGUG